CUUCGAUCUCAUCACCUUCUUUCCCCUCCCACCCCUCUUUUUGAUCCCCGCUUUGGGGCUUGCAAAUUUUUGACAUGUCAAAUGAGAGUGAAGCUAAAAUGUAAACAACAAGUGUUCGCGUGUGCCGUGAUUUUAAUAAACAUAAAAUCAACCACGGAAGUAUGAUUUAGUUGUGGUGGAAGCGAAAAAAAAUGCUUGGAGCAUGGAAUAAAACCGGAUGAAAUUUCUAGCCUUCACGCACGAUGCCGACGCUGAGGUUUUACAGGUGAACAACAAUUAGCAACUCCCGAUCGAAUUGCACACAACAACCACCCACAAUCACAGCUGUAAAAGUAACACGGAUAGGUAGCAAGGAAAUCAAGCUUGUACACAGAAAUCUACACAAAAACUGGGUAUUAUAAGCGCACGAAAAGCGACGAGGCUA
Molecule: long non-coding RNA, 424 nt
Organism: Anopheles gambiae (African malaria mosquito)
Lineage: Eukaryota; Metazoa; Arthropoda; Insecta; Diptera; Culicidae
Exons: 4
Source: RefSeq, a predicted model, not a curated record